Molecule: ribosomal RNA, 451 nt
Filed under: uncultured bacterium
Lineage: Bacteria
Description: partial 16S ribosomal RNA
Rfam family: Bacterial small subunit ribosomal RNA
Source: RNAcentral
AACGAACGCUGGCGGCAUGCUUAACACAUGCAAGUCGAACGGUUGCAGCAAUGCAGCAAUGGCAGACGGGUGAGUAACACGUGGGAACCUUCCUAGGGGUACGGAACAACUCAGGGAAACUUGAGCUAAUACCGUAUACGUCCGUGAGGAGAAAGAUUUAUCGCCCUAGGACGGGCACGCCUCGGCUGAGCUAGUUGGUGGGGUAACGGGGUACGAAGGCGAGGAUCCGUAGCUGAUCUUAGAGGAUGAUCCGCAACACUGGGACUGGGACGCGGCCCAGACUCCUACGGGAGGCAGCAGUGGGGAAUCUUGGACAAUGGGCGCAAGCCUGAUCCAGCCAUGCCGCGUGAGUGAAGAAGGUCUUCGGAUUGUAAAGCUCUUUUGCCCGGGACGAUAAUGACGGUACCUGGAGAAUAAGCCCCGGCAAACUUCGUGCCAGCAGCCGCGGUAA